RNAcentral lists this long non-coding RNA (558 nucleotides) under Gossypium barbadense (sea-island cotton). RNAcentral's name for it is "long non-coding RNA (GBAR_LNC006643)". The record is from RNAcentral. Lineage: Eukaryota; Viridiplantae; Streptophyta; Magnoliopsida; Malvales; Malvaceae.
AAUACCUGUUCUCUUUUUUCUCUUAGCCUUUGUUUGGCAAGCUGCUGUAAGUUUUCGAUGAGAUCCUUAAUACUGUCCUAGAAAAAUUCAUGAGUGAUUCAAGAAAAAAAAUUCUAACAAUUGAAAAGAUCAGAUAAGUCUUACACUAUGAACGAACCCUCAAUUCAAAGAUUGAAAUUCUUGGAUAGCCCUGAUAAAUUAGGAUCAUCCCAUUUUCUCAUUCUGACCCUUUUCGCCGAAUAACCCUAUUUAGAUUAGAGUCAGGUCCAAAAGAGCGUGAUGGCUAGAGGUCGAAGAAAGUAGCCCUUCCCCUUCCACUGACUUUGAGUCAGGGGGCUUUAGCCUAUGAACCAAUGUCUAACUUAUUGUCUCAAUGGGGGCUGCACUUCUACUAUGGUAUGACUUCCGGUCCAAGAAAGACUAUUCGGCUUAGAAAGGGUAUGGGCUAUACUUGAACCAGGGUAGACAAAGACGAGUAGGGCUGGCUGAUCAGCCAAAUCCCCUCUUUUUGGACUUUUUUGUCCCGGCCUGCCCAAAGGAUUCAAUUGACUUGACGAA